This 261-nucleotide ribosomal RNA is filed under the name uncultured bacterium. RNAcentral's name for it is "partial 16S ribosomal RNA". It matches the Rfam family "Bacterial small subunit ribosomal RNA", at positions 337 to 614 of the family's 1533-position model. The record is from RNAcentral.
GCCUACGGGGCGCAGCAGUGGGGAAUAUUGCACAAUGGGGGAAACCCUGAUGCAGCAACGCCGCGUGAGUGAAGAAGUAUUUCGGUAUGUAAAGCUCUAUCAGCAGGGAAGAAGAAAGACGGUACCUGACUAAGAAGCCCCGGCUAACUACGUGCCAGCAGCCGCGGGCAUACGUAGGGGGCACGCGUUAUCCGGAUUUACUGGGUGUAAAGGGAGCGUAGACGGCAUAGCAAGUCUGAAAUGAAAGCCCGUGGCUCAACC